UACGGAGGGUGCGAGCGUUAUCCGGAUUCACUGGGUUUAAAGGGUGCGUAGGUGGGUUUGUAAGUCAGUGGUGAAAUCUCCAGGCUUAACCUGGAAACUGCCAUUGAUACUAUAGGUCUUGAAUUUUCUGGAGGUAAGCGGAAUAUGUCAUGUAGCGGUGAAAUGCUUAGAUAUGACAUAGAACACCAAUUGCGAAGGCAGCUUGCUACAGGAACAUUGACACUGAGGCACGAAAGCGUGGGGAUCAAACAGG
Molecule: ribosomal RNA, 253 nt
Filed under: uncultured bacterium
Lineage: Bacteria
Description: partial 16S ribosomal RNA
Rfam family: Bacterial small subunit ribosomal RNA
Source: RNAcentral